GGCAAGGUGGCGGAGUGGUUACGCACCGGUUUGCAAAACCGUCCCACACGGGUUCGAAUCCCGUCCUUGCCUCCA
RNAcentral lists this transfer RNA (75 nucleotides) under Patescibacteria group bacterium. RNAcentral's name for it is "tRNA-Cys". It matches the Rfam family "tRNA". Rfam says of the family: Transfer RNA (tRNA) molecules are approximately 80 nucleotides in length. Their secondary structure includes four short double-helical elements and three loops (D, anti-codon, and T loops). The record is from RNAcentral.